Molecule: long non-coding RNA, 847 nt
Filed under: Anas platyrhynchos platyrhynchos (common mallard)
Lineage: Eukaryota; Metazoa; Chordata; Aves; Anseriformes; Anatidae
Description: lncRNA (ENSAPLG00000023777.1)
Source: RNAcentral
GAUUUGACUACGUUAGAGAGGAAUGAUUUUUGUUGGGAUCUAAAUUGCAGGAUGCAGUUUCCUUUCAAAUCAACUGUUGAAUUUAUUUCUGGCUGUGCUUAAGGAACUCAUGCUAACAGUCCAUUCAGAGGCUGAGAAACAAGGAAAGAGCAGCACACCAUAAACAAAGGUCAGGGGCAGACUGGUGCACUGUGCCCACAACCAGAGUUGCUGCUUGACACAAAUCCCACAACACUGGAGAUGGAAAUGGGAGAUGACUGGUGUUGGACCAAACCCCCUUUCUUCUGUUCAGCUUGCAUCUGCAAGAUGGGCUUCUCCCUGCACUACCACUUGCCCUUGCAAAGUGUUUGGUGAGGAGAAGUUGCUGUCACAAAAUCAUGAAACAGAAACAGCAUCAUGUGACACAGUGGAGAAUUGCACCUGUCUCACCUGUCUUCAGAGGACAAUAGACAAAAGUACUCAUGUCUGUGAAGUAACAGCAACACCAAUGCAGCAGGCUUGUAGCAAUAGACAAGCUCAUCCCUCAGAAUUACAAAGUGGAGAAGAUUCUGACUGGAUCUGUAUUAAUCCUGAAGACAUCAGUCAGCCUCUGCAUGCACUAGCCCUUCUAAUUUAAAAUUUGUGAGAAACAUCAAUGAAGUAAAACAUUUUGUUCCACCAUCAUCUUUCAGACAGAGAAUACCAGAACAACGCAGAAAAGAAUAUAUUUGGAGAAGAAAGUCAGAAACAGCUACAAAAAUGUAAAACAUUUUUUUUUCUGUGUUUUUAUCCUAUUCAGACUUGAACUCUGUCAUCAAACUUGACAACUCUGCACAAAUAAAAACAGAGAAUAUCUCUUUACCCCUCA